UAGAGUUUGAUCCUGGCUCAGAUUGAACGCUGGCGGCAGGCCUAACACAUGCAAGUCGAGCGGAUGAAGAGAGCUUGCUCUCUGAUUCAGCGGCGGACGGGUGAGUAAUGCCUAGGAAUCUGCCUGGUAGUGGGGGACAACGUUUCGAAAGGAACGCUAAUACCGCAUACGUCCUACGGGAGAAAGCAGGGGACCUUCGGGCCUUGCGCUAUCAGAUGAGCCUAGGUCGGAUUAGCUAGUAGGUGAGGUAAUGGCUCACCUAGGCGACGAUCCGUAACUGGUCUGAGAGGAUGAUCAGUCACACUGGAACUGAGACACGGUCCAGACUCCUACGGGAGGCAGCAGUGGGGAAUAUUGGACAAUGGGCGAAAGCCUGAUCCAGCCAUGCCGCGUGUGUGAAGAAGGUCUUCGGAUUGUAAAGCACUUUAAGUUGGGAGGAAGGGCAGUAAGUUAAUACCUUGCUGUUUUGACGUUACCGACAGAAUAAGCACCGGCUAACUUCGUGCCAGCAGCCGCGGUAAUACGAAGGGUGCAAGCGUUAAUCGGAAUUACUGGGCGUAAAGCGCGCGUAGGUGGUUCAGCAAGUUGGAGGUGAAAUCCCCGGGCUCAACCUGGGAACUGCCUCCAAAACUACUGAGCUAGAGUACGGUAGAGGGUAGUGGAAUUUCCUGUGUAGCGGUGAAAUGCGUAGAUAUAGGAAGGAACAACAGUGGCGAAGGCGACUACCUGGACUGAUACUGACACUGAGGUGCGAAAGCGUGGGGAGCAAACAGGAUAAAAUACCCUGGUAGUCCACGCCGUAAACGAUGUC
This 811-nucleotide ribosomal RNA is filed under the name uncultured bacterium. Its description in RNAcentral is "bacterial SSU rRNA". It matches the Rfam family "Bacterial small subunit ribosomal RNA", at positions 1 to 813 of the family's 1533-position model. The record is from RNAcentral.